AGGACGAACGCUGGCGGCGUGCUCAACACAUGCAAGUCGAACGAAUAUCCAUCUUCGGAUGGUGAAGAGUGGCGAACGGGUGAGUAACACGUGGGCAAUCUGCCCCUCACAUCGGGACAACCUCGGGAAACUGGGGCUAAUACCGAAUACCCACCGACACGGGCAUCCGUGACGGUGGAAAGGAUUCUGGUGAGGGAUGAGCCCGCGGCCUAUCAGCUUGUUGGUGGGGUAACGGCCUACCAAGGCGACGACGGGUAACCGGCCUGAGAGGGCGACCGGUCACACUGGGACUGAGACACGGCCCAGACUCCUACGGGAGGCAGCAGUGGGGAAUAUUGCGCAAUGGACGAAAGUCUGACGCAGCAACGCCGCGUGAGGGAUGAAGUACAUAGAGAUGUAAACCUCUUUCAGCAGGGACGAAGCUAACGUGACGGUACCUGCAGAAGAAGCACCGGCUAACUACGUGCCAGCAGCCGCGGUAAUACGUAGGGUGCAAGCGUUGUCCGGAUUUAUUGGGCGUAAAGGGCUCGUAGGCGGUCUGUCGCGUCGGAUGUGAAAACUCGGAGCUCAACUCCGGGCCUGCAUUCGAUACGGGCAGACUAGAGUUCGGUAGGGGAGAUUGGAAUUCCUGGUGUAGCGGUGGAAUGCGCAGAUAUCAGGAGGAACACCGAUGGCGAAGGCAGAUCUCUGGGCCGAUACUGACGCUGAGGAGCGAAAGCAUGGGGAGCAAACAGGAUUAGAUACCCUGGUAGUCCAUGCCGUAAACGGUGGGCGCUAGGUGUGGGGAGCAGUUUACGCUUUCCGCGCCGCAGCUAACGCAUUAAGCGCCCCGCCUGGGGAGUACGGCCGCAAGGCUAAAAACUCAAAGGAAUUGACGGGGGCCCGCACAAGCGGCGGAGCAUGCGGCUUAAUUCGAUGCAACGCGAAGAACCUUACCUAGGCUUGACAUAUACCGUUUACCUUCAGAAAUGUUGGGUCCUUCGGGGCGGUAUACAGGUGGUGCAUGGCUGUCGUCAGCUCGUGUCGUGAGAUGUUGGGUUAAGUCCCGCAACGAGCGCAACCCUUAUUCUAUGUUGCCAGCGCGUAAUGGCGGGGACUCAUGGAAGACUGCCGGGGUCAACUCGGAGGAAGGUGGGGACGACGUCAAGUCAUCAUGCCCCUUAUGUCUAGGGCUGCACGCAUGCUACAAUGGCCGGUACAGAGGGCUGCGAAACCGCAAGGUUAAGCGAAUCCCAUAAAGCCGGUCUCAGUUCGGAUUGGGGUCUGCAACUCGACCCCAUGAAGUCGGAGUCGCUAGUAAUCGCAGAUCAGCAACGCUGCGGUGAAUACGUUCCCGGGCCUUGUACACACCGCCCGUCACGUCACGAAAGUCGGUAACACCCGAAGCCGGUGGCCUAACCCUUGUGGAGGGAGCCGUCGAAGGUGGGACUGGCGAUUGGGACGAAGUCGUAACAAGGUA
Molecule: ribosomal RNA, 1459 nt
Filed under: metagenome
Description: bacterial SSU rRNA
Rfam family: Bacterial small subunit ribosomal RNA
Source: RNAcentral